UGUGUUCACAGCGGACCUUGAUU
This 23-nucleotide microRNA is filed under the name Gadus morhua (Atlantic cod). RNAcentral's name for it is "Gmo-Mir-124-P3b-v2_5p* (star (passenger))". Lineage: Eukaryota; Metazoa; Chordata; Actinopteri; Gadiformes; Gadidae. The record is from RNAcentral. RNAcentral also lists the same sequence under 1 other name.